UACGGAGGGUGCGAGCGUUGUCCGGAAUCACUGGGCGUAAAGGGCGCGUAGGCGGCGCGGAAAGUCAACGGUGAAAGCUUGGGGCUCAACCCCGAGUCGGCCGUCGAUACUUCCGUGCUCGAGCACUGUAGAGGCAGGUGGAAUUCCGGGUGUAGCGGUGGAAUGCGUAGAGAUCCGGAAGAACACCGGUGGCGAAGGCGGCCUGCUGGGCAGUUGCUGACGCUGAUGCGCGAAAGCGUGGGGAGCAAACAGG
Molecule: ribosomal RNA, 253 nt
Filed under: uncultured bacterium
Lineage: Bacteria
Description: partial 16S ribosomal RNA
Rfam family: Bacterial small subunit ribosomal RNA
Source: RNAcentral